This 661-nucleotide ribosomal RNA is filed under the name uncultured eukaryote. RNAcentral's name for it is "eukaryotic LSU rRNA". The stretch from base 244 to 398 matches the Rfam family "5.8S ribosomal RNA". The record is from RNAcentral.
CCGCCUGGCCGCGGGAUUUCCGUAGGUGANACCUGCGGAAGGAUCAUUCGCACAUGCUCCAAACUCAUUUCUGUGAAUAAUUCUGUGAGGUUUUGUGUGGAGAUGUUCGUCCCCAUGCAAAUUCUCGCGGGCUGUGGGGUGGAUGGGAUGAUUACCAUACCUGUUCAUUCCCACUGCCAUUGCCAACUGCAACGCGACUUGAAGCGAGCUUUGUGUUGAUGGCUUCUGCCAUUUGCAGCUCACAACUUUCAGCGAUGGAUGUCUCGGUUCGAACAACGAUGAAGGGCGCAGCGAAGUGCGAUAAGCAUUGUGAAUUGCAGAAUUCCGUGAACCGACAGGGACUUGAACGCAUAUUGUGCUUUUGGGAUAUCCCUAAAAGCAUGCCUGCUUCAGUGUCUAUUCUUUGUUGUUCCAGCGACUGUUGCUUGUAGCUGGCAUGUUGCUGUGAGCACUUGUGCCUCAAGAUGUUUGGCCCUGUUUGGGUGUCCCUGAGGCAUGCGAUUGACAAGGCUGCGGUGUGGCGGUCAGCUUACUGAGGCAUCUGUGUGUGCAUCUUUUGCAAUGGCCGUCUCAUCGUGAGGCUUGCUGUCACGAUCUGGUUUUACCAAGUGUUGAGACAUGAAGUUAGGUUGGCAAACCCGCUGAAUUUAAGCAUAUCAAU